CAGUGGGAGCACGCUUAGGCGUGUGACUGCGUACCUUUUGUAUAAUGGGUCAGCGACUUAUAUUCUGUAGCAAGGUUAACCGAAUAGGGGAGCCGAAGGGAAACCGAGUCUUAACUGGGCGUUAAGUUGCAGGGUAUAGACCCGAAACCCGGUGAUCUAGCCAUGGGCAGGUUGAAGGUUGGGUAACACUAACUGGAGGACCGAACCGACUAAUGUUGAAAAAUUAGCGGAUGACUUGUGGCUGGGGGUGAAAGGCCAAUCAAACCGGGAGAUAGCUGGUUCUCCCCGAAAGCUAUUUAGGUAGCGCCUCGUGAAUUCAUCUCCGGGGGUAGAGCACUGUUUCGGCAAGGGGGUCAUCCCGACUUACCAACCCGAUGCAAACUGCGAAUACCGGAGAAUGUUAUCACGGGAGACACACGGCGGGUGCUAA
RNAcentral lists this ribosomal RNA (430 nucleotides) under Escherichia coli. Its description in RNAcentral is "partial 23S ribosomal RNA". It matches the Rfam family "Bacterial large subunit ribosomal RNA", at positions 571 to 1001 of the family's 2925-position model. Lineage: Bacteria; Pseudomonadati; Pseudomonadota; Gammaproteobacteria; Enterobacterales; Enterobacteriaceae. The record is from RNAcentral.